GUUCUAUGAUGAAGUGCUCAACAGGAGAUAUAUGUUAUUAUAACCUGAAUCUUAUACCACCGUGGAGAGGUUAUACGGCGAAGCGAAAUAUACACCAUUCGACCAAGAACGCUACUUCAGUAGGUAAACAUCGUUCAAUCCCGAAAAAUCUAUCACCUAGCAUCGAUCCUUCUAGCAUGAUACAUACCCAUGUCUAUAUAUAUAUAUAUAUAUAUAUAUAUACAUAACUAAGGGUAAUCCUUGUAAAUGAACUAUCUAUGACUAAGUAUUGCUCCUUAUAAAGUGAACUGUGUGUACGUAGCAGACAUGCCCUCGUCACAUCCACGCGCAGAAACCGACCUUCGACGUCUGGGAGCAUCAGGAACUCUGUGGACUGGGACGCCACUGCACCCUGCAAGCUGUUCGAUGACGCUGCCCCGCUCGUAGCACUCAGGGAGACGCUGCGCGUCGCACAGUCUAGCAUCUCAGGCGGCCAAAGCUGUCUGUGCUCUUCAAGUGCCUGCAGAAGGUCGAGGGCCUCAACUGGCGACAAGUCGCCGAGGCGGCUGAACAGGAGAAGUGAAAACAUGCACCAUUCACUGGAGGGGGAUGCACGCAUGCAGCCGACGCAUUUACUCCACCACACAGCAGCCGGAGGAUUUCAGUUUUACUCGAGGAAACGAAUAAUACUAUGCGCCGGACAGGGGUGAAGGUCGCGCGGGUCGUGCAUCUCGAGAUUUCUCCGAGAACUGCAGUAGACUAGGGCAGCGUCUGGCCAUCUUCGACACUCAACUUUUUUCUGCUGACAGCACCUUCGCCCAUGGCCUCCGCAGGACAGGUGAUCAAAUACGACCGUCAUACAACUUGGAGACAACUUGUUGAGAUGGAACGGAGCGUUUUAUCGACGUCGAGCUGUCGGCAUGCAGAGACUAAGGCCGUCGCGGGACCAUGUGUGGUUUGUCGCUGGUUAUACAAAUCGAUACACUCUCUGUACAGAUGCUCCGCGACCCGAAACGAGUCUAUCCUUCCCACCUCUGGCAGAUUAUCAACGAACUGCUGAACCACCCUGUGUGGAGAAUGAGGCACAGAGUCGCCUGAGGGCCAACGCACUGCGUAAGGUCCUCUCUCCGUGUUUAGGCAAAAACGACUUUCUCGAAAAACUGGGGAGAAUUUGUUUCUUCGUGUCGCAUCGUACAAAACUUCGCGGGACGCUGAGGAACUCAAGCUGUUCCAAAAUAGAGAGAAAUGCACGACGUUGAAUUCUUCCUCUGAAAGACAGCUCAGACCCCGAUGCUGGACACAGUCUGCAACGGCAACGCCUGCAAAUGCGGUUACGACACAGAUGGUGUAGGACCUAGGCUGUUUCUUGGCACUCUGAUCUGAAGCACACGUUGAUACCGGUGGAGUUCAGACCUACUUUGACAGGCGAUGAAGCAAGUUCACCAGGACGCCGACGGCCUCUUCAUUCACAUUUCUGGAAUCGGAGGACUCGUCUAAUUCGUCUUCUAUCUCGAAACGUAAUGCCGGCCUCUGACUCAGACCCGAUGGGGCGAGGAGCACUGCACUGUCGUUGCUUGUCCCCUGGGAGGCGGACCCUGCAUUCUCGCCAGAUACCGCAUGCGGCGGCAAGAGCGACGGAGCGGAGACGUUCCAAGAUUCAUUGGGAUUUCUGUCCGACCCCGCGUCUUCUUCGAGUUUCAUGUCUCCAUCGCCUUUGCUGUCUCCUGGGGAGUGUUGAGCUGGCUCAUGGACAAGCCCAAAGAGGUCCGUGUUUGUAGCGCUCCCGUCACGGCGUCGUCGAGAGAUCUCUGCCUGAGACGAACUGGACGAAAGAAGCAGUCCGCGCGCCGCUAAGACGGCGUAGAUCGCUCUGUACAGAAACCGGGCCGGCAAUCAGCAAGAUGGAGUGAAACCACCCAGAAGUACAUCAGACAGAAAUUGCUGAGGUAUUUGAAAUGCAUGCAGCUGCAUAGCCAUCAGGUUUCACGAAGGUUCGCCACUCACAUCGCCGCGGAGGAAGUCGGAAAAUGUAGGAAAACAACUUCACAGCAGCAGCUGCCGCAGGCCUCUACUGGACGAUUUCCUCGCAGAAACGACCGCCGCCAACCAAGACCCGGGACGGCACUCCACUCGAAAAACUCAUUCUUCCGCAUGCCACCAGAGUGUCUCGAAAUUUGCGAAGAUAUGCAAAGAUGGUAACUGGCGGAGGCACUCUUUAUGUGGUGAGGGGAGACGCGAUUUGAGAGGGCGACAACAGCAGUUAAGCACGCUGUCCGCCUGGAGAUGCCGACCCGAUGUCUGCUUCAUGCCGCUGCGCCAGCUCACCACGGUUUCCGUUCGUUUCUCUAAUAUUUCGCAGGUCCAAAGAACUCACCGUUGUAUACCCCAUGCGCUGAGGGUCACCUCCCUGCUCCCGUUGCGGUCCCUGCCGGAGGUUUCUUUUCCGAGUCGGCGAACCGCAGCCACAAGAAAUGUUUUUGAAGGAGCGACAUGCUGAAGAAACCGAGUGCAACAGAACAAACGACGACAGAAAUAAAAAGCAGGACGGGCAGCCCCGCUGAUUCCAACACAGUGUGGACUCGUCUCUCAGACGAGUGUUUACAAGCUUUUUCUGGGAGAUAGAUACGAUGACGUGGACUCCUGGUUUACAUCUUGAAGGACUUUGUUUAGCGGACCGAGCGUCUGCAGUGCGGUCCAUAAUCACAUCCAGUGCAUUAAGUAUAGCGCGUAAUCAGCUCUGCGACAGAGUUGCGUUAACCUUCUUCUGGGAAGAACAAACGGAUAUACGCAGCUUCUAACUACCCAGGAUUACGCCAAGAAUGAUCCCGCGUUAACCUGACUAUCUGUGUUCUAUUCAUACAAUGGGUUCAGUUGGUUCUAUCUCUACAAUAUCUUUCAUCUUCACUAUGCUCUGCUAACACAGGAAAGGCGUUUUUUACUGUCUCGCGAGAAUUCCUGGAUAGCAUCCAGAGGCCAUGAUACCGAAACCAAGCGCCACGAUGUCUUCUUCAGGCUCGGCGAGUCGCUCUUUGUUGCGCUGUUUCCAUGCAUGCAGUAGCAUAGAUGACUUGCCCCACAUAUUCCGGGCAGACUAGCAGUCGGCAGGGGAGUACGGAAGUCAACAUCAUGGUCUUUGUACGGCGCGCAUGCAAACGUUGGAUCCCCAAACGACCGCUGGGAAAACACUACGUGGAACGCACUAAACGCUACCGUGACGUUCAGGAGCAUAUCAUUACGCAUUCGAUGGCAUCUUCAAUUG
This 3238-nucleotide long non-coding RNA is filed under the name Toxoplasma gondii VEG. Lineage: Eukaryota; Apicomplexa; Conoidasida; Eucoccidiorida; Sarcocystidae. The record is from RNAcentral.